Molecule: ribosomal RNA, 482 nt
Filed under: uncultured bacterium
Lineage: Bacteria
Description: partial 16S ribosomal RNA
Rfam family: Bacterial small subunit ribosomal RNA
Source: RNAcentral
GACGAACGCUGGCGGCGUGCUUAACACAUGCAAGUCGAACGAUGAACCCGGAGCUUGCUCCGGUGGAUUAGUGGCGAACGGGUGAGUAACACGUGGGCAACCUGCCCCUCACUUCGGGAUAACUCCGGGAAACCGGGGCUAAUACCGGAUAUGACCUCCUUGGGCAUCCUUGGAGGUGGAAAGUUUUUCGGUGAGGGAUGGGCCGGCGGCCUAUCAGCUUGUUGGUGAGGUAGUGGCUCACCAAGGCGACGACGGGUAGCCGGCCUGAGAGGGCGACCGGCCACACUGGGACUGAGACACGGCCCAGACUGCGACGGGAGGCAGCAGUGGGGAAUAGUGCGCAAUGGGCGAAAGCCUGACGCAGCAACGCCGCGUGAGGGAUGACGGCCUUCGGGUUGUAAACCUCUUUUAGUAGGGAAGAAGCGAAAGUGACGGUACCUGCAGAAAAAGCACCGGCUAACUACGUGCAGCAGCCGCAGUAA